GACGAACGCUGGCGGCGUGCUUAACACAUGCAAGUCGUACGGUAAGGCCCUUUCGGGGGUACACGAGUGGCGAACGGGUGAGUAACACGUGAGUAACCUGCCCACAACUUUGGGAUAACGCUAGGAAACUGGUGCUAAUACUGGAUAUGUGCUCCUGCUGCAUGGUGGGGGUUGGAAAGCUCCGGCGGUUGUGGAUGGACUCGCGGCCUAUCAGCUUGUUGGUGGGGUAGUGGCCUACCAAGGCGGCGACGGGUAGCCGGCCUGAGAGGGUGACCGGCCACAUUGGGACUGUGAUACGGCCCAGACUCCUACGGGAGGCAGCAGUGGGGAAUAUUGCACAAUGGGCGUAAGCCUGAUGCAGCAACGCCGCGUGCGGGAUGACGGCCUUCGGGUUGUAAGCCGCUUUCAGCAGGGACGAAGCUUUUUGUGACGGUACCUGCAGAAGAAGCACCGGCUAACUACGUG
Molecule: ribosomal RNA, 465 nt
Filed under: uncultured bacterium
Lineage: Bacteria
Description: partial 16S ribosomal RNA
Rfam family: Bacterial small subunit ribosomal RNA
Source: RNAcentral